Molecule: ribosomal RNA, 1484 nt
Filed under: uncultured rumen bacterium
Lineage: Bacteria
Description: 16S ribosomal RNA
Rfam family: Bacterial small subunit ribosomal RNA
Source: RNAcentral
UUGAUCCUGGCUCAGGAUGAACGCUAGCUACAGGCUUAACACAUGCAAGUCGAGGGGCAGCAUGUUGGUUGCUUGCAACCAAUGAUGGCGACCGGCGCACGGGUGAGUAACGCGUAUCCAACCUUCCCCUUAGUAGAGGAUAGCCCGGCGAAAGUCGGAUUAAUACUCUAUGUUGUAUUUUGAUGACAUCUGACGAAUACCAAAGAUUUAUCGCUAAGGGAUGGGGAUGCGUCUGAUUAGGUUGCAGGCGGGGUAACGGCCCACCUGGCCUACGAUCAGUAGGGGUUCUGAGAGGAAGGUCCCCCACACUGGUACUGAGACACGGACCAGACUCCUACGGGAGGCAGCAGUGAGGAAUAUUGGUCAAUGGGCGCGAGCCUGAACCAGCCAAGUAGCGUGCAGGACGACUGCCCUAUGGGUUGUAAACUGCUUUUAUCAGGGAAUAAAGUGAGGCACGCGUGCCUUUUUGUAUGUACCUGAUGAAUAAGGACCGGCUAAUUCCGUGCCAGCAGCCGCGGUAAUACGGAAGGUCCGGGCGUUAUCCGGAUUUAUUGGGUUUAAAGGGAGCGCAGGCGGCCUGUGCAAGCGUGACGUGAAAUGCGGGUGCUCACCAUCCGGACUGCGUCGCGGACUGCCGGGCUUGAGUUCACGGAAGGCGCGCGGAAUUCGUGGUGUAGCGGUGAAAUGCUUAGAUAUCACGAAGAACCCCGAUUGCGAAGGCAGCGCGCCGCAGUGUUACUGACGCUGAGGCUCGAAGGUGCGGGUAUCGAACAGGAUUAGAUACCCUGGUAGUCCGCACGGUAAACGAUGGACACCCGCUGUGCGCCUGUUUAGGUGUGCGGCCAAGCGAAAGCGUUAAGUGUCCCACCUGGGGAGUACGCCGGCAACGGUGAAACUCAAAGGAAUUGACGGGGGCCCGCACAAGCGGAGGAACAUGUGGUUUAAUUCGAUGAUACGCGAGGAACCUUACCCGGGCUUGAACUGCGGCGGAACGAUCCAGAGAUGGUGAGGUCAGCGAUGACCGCCGCGGAGGUGCUGCAUGGUUGUCGUCAGCUCGUGCCGUGAGGUGUCGGCUUAAGUGCCAUAACGAGCGCAACCCCUUUCGCCAGUUGCCAUCACGUCUGGGUGGGCACUCUGGCGACACUGCCACCGCAAGGUGUGAGGAAGGUGGGGAUGACGUCAAAUCAGCACGGCCCUUACGUCCGGGGCUACACACGUGUUACAAUGGGCGGCACAGAGAGCAGGCGCUGCGCAAGCCGCGCCGAAUCAAGAAACCCGCCCUCAGUUCGGAUUGGGGUCUGCAACCCGACCCCAUGAAGCUGGAUUCGCUAGUAAUCGCGCAUCAGCCAUGGCGCGGUGAAUACGUUCCCGGGCCUUGUACACACCGCCCGUCAAGCCAUGAAAGCCGGGGGCGCCUGAAGUCCGUGACCGCGAGGGUCGGGCUAGGGCGAAACCGGUGAUUGGGGCUAAGUCGUAACAAGGUA